UACGUAGGGCGCAAGCGUUAUCCGGAAUUACUGGGCGUAAAGGGCUCGUAGGCGGCCAACUAAGUCAGACGUGAAAUCCCUCGGCUUAACCGGGGAACUGCGUCUGAUACUGGAUGGCUCGAGUUUGGGAGAGGGAUGCGGAAUUCCAGGUGUAGCGGUGAAAUGCGUAGAUAUCUGGAGGAACACCGGUGGCGAAGGCGGCAUCCUGGACCAACACUGACGCUGAUGAGCGAAAGCCAGGGGAGCAAACGGG
RNAcentral lists this ribosomal RNA (253 nucleotides) under uncultured bacterium. RNAcentral describes it as "partial 16S ribosomal RNA". It matches the Rfam family "Bacterial small subunit ribosomal RNA", at positions 524 to 776 of the family's 1533-position model. The record is from RNAcentral.